Orbicella faveolata is the source of this 152-nucleotide long non-coding RNA. NCBI's taxonomy places the organism in Eukaryota, Metazoa, Cnidaria, Anthozoa, Scleractinia, Merulinidae. The record is from RefSeq and is a predicted model, not a curated record.
GCCAAGAACAAGUCGAGGAUUUAAACCGUGUAGUAGAAAUCGCAGAUAUGAAUCCGACCGUAUUACAAGGAAGUGGUUUUGACCAUGAUACAUUGAGAGUACUCACACAUUAUGUCAAAGGAAACAUCCAAGAGAAGAAAAAUGACUUAAGA